GGGGAAUACAGUUGGAGCAGUUUCUUUAGCUUUUCUUCUUACCUAUAUUGAUAUUACCAGAAUUUGUUUUAUAAUUUAUUCUCUAAUUAUGGCUCACAAUAAUACACUAACAAUGCGACAGGCACUGGACUAGUUUACAAGCACAGUACAACAGCGCUUCGAAAUCCUCUUAGUCUUCUUGUCAUUUGGCUGUGGGCUGAAUAAAUCCGGAACCUUGAUCCUUUUAGAGCCAUCAGGAAGACGUUUGCAAUGAGAAUGAUCUUCCACACCCAUAAAAUCUGCGCAUACCUGAUUCUUAAGGGUUCCAACCAACGCGUCCUGGCAACCUAAUGCAUGAACAUAUUCCAGAUUGGGGCAUUGGAGCAGCAAUCUUUCUGGAUUCAGGUUGGUACAAGAGUUCAGAUUCAAAUCUUUCAGUUCUGGGCAAUUCAGAUAUAAGGCAUCUAAGCCAGAGCAGCCCCAUAAGCUGAGUUUCUUCAAGCAGGUAUGCUUGAUAAUCAGUUUUUGAUAUAUAAGGUGUUGUUUACUAUUGGGAGUUCUUUGUAACUGGAGGUCAUUAUUUUCCUGAGAUGUUGGAUUGUCUAAAUCAGGAUCAGAUAUGGUCAUACCACAAUCCAUGAGCUCUAGAUUAGGCAACUGAGCUGCAGCAAAUUGAAUGCCACUUGAAGUGAUAUUUGGACAAAGAGCAAGGAGAAGUUUAGACAAUGUCUCGGGGAAUAUGUUGCAUAUCAUUCCAAUGCCACUAUCACUAAUGCUGGACCCACUCAAAUCAAGCAACUCAAGGUUUGAGUAGCUUGAAGCGAUAGCAGCAACAGAUGCAUCAGUUAUUUCUGAACCCAGUACAAGAGAGAGCAUCCGUAACCCCCUUAGAUUUGCUGCUGUUAAAGCAAGCACAACAGCAUGUGUUAGGCGGAUGGAGGCAAUAUGAAUGUUCUGGAGUCUCGGGCAGCUCCUUCCAAGACCAUCGACCAUGAGAGUAAGAUCGGUGGUGUCAUUUUCUUGGUGAGAAAAAUCCAGGGAAACAUCCUUCAAGUUGGGGCAGUUGAAGACCAUCUUAGCAUGACAAUAGAGAUCUGAAAGCGAAAGAGUUGAAAGACUGGUUGAGCAAAGAGUGAAACCCCCAAGAUUAGAGCAACCUUCCAUCUUGAGAUUAGUAAGAGAUCUUUUCUCAGCAACAAAACGACCCAAUUCAUCCCCAGUGAUCCGAUUGACUGAGGUAUUACACAUAAGUAUCUCCAUCGAAUCCAGUUUAGGACAGGAAAAAGCAAUGCAGGCCAACAUGGUAGCAUCAAUGUCACUUUCCAUUCUAAGAGAAAGCUUAACAAGCCCUGGACAUUUCUUUAACACCGACCCGACAAGUCCAAUCUGGGCAUUUACGGGAACCCUAAGUCUAAGCUCCACAGCAGACUUCCAGAUCCUUCUAGAACUUUCCAACCACCCCUUACAAACCCUCGCCGAUGAAAGCAACGCCGGAGGCGGUAAUCUCUUAAACACUUCCCAUAAACAACUCGAAGGCAACGUCCCUAUCCCCGAUCCGGACCCAACUCGAUCCGAUUCGUUAUCCAGAUCGGAGAAAUCCCCCUCGUCAUCAGAUCCAGGUGAAUCAUUAACAUCAACGUCAUCAAAUGAAAGUGCUCGCCGGAGCUGUGGGAGUACAUGGCGUUGCGGCAGGGGAGGUGGCGGCUGAGGACGAACAACAGAGGGUGGGGAAGCUAAGAGUGACGAAUUGGGAUUGGGACUGGGAUUAUCAAUCGGAUUAAGGUUCUUAGGAAAAUUGCAAACAUGGCCUUUUUUGGGUACACCGCAUCGGCCACAACUGUAGCUACCCC
This 1829-nucleotide unclassified non-coding RNA is filed under the name Hevea brasiliensis (rubber tree). The record is from RNAcentral. Lineage: Eukaryota; Viridiplantae; Streptophyta; Magnoliopsida; Malpighiales; Euphorbiaceae.